CGGCUGUAGCUAUAUCAAUCCAACUGGCUGAGAAGCUAACUGGCCGGCUAUUGUGUGAGAUUGAUUUUCUAUCUCCGAUCGAUAGAUCUGCUUACCGAGCUUCUCACAUUC
Populus trichocarpa (black cottonwood) is the source of this 111-nucleotide non-coding RNA. The record is from Rfam. Lineage: Eukaryota; Viridiplantae; Streptophyta; Magnoliopsida; Malpighiales; Salicaceae.